GACGAACGCUGGCGGCGUGCUUAACACAUGCAAGUCGAACGGAAAGGCCCUGCUUUUGUGGGGUGCUCGAGUGGCGAACGGGUGAGUAACACGUGAGUAACCUGCCCUUGACUUUGGGAUAACUUCAGGAAACUGGGGCUAAUACCGGAUAGGAGCUCCUGCUGCAUGGUGGGGGUUGGAAAGUUUCGGCGGUUGGGGAUGGACUCGCGGCUUAUCAGCUUGUUGGUGGGGUAGUGGCUUACCAAGGCUUUGACGGGCAGCCGGCCUGAGAGGGUGACCGGCCACAUUGGGACUGAGAUACGGCCCAGACUCCUACGGGGGGCAGCAGUGGGGAAUAUUGAACAAUGGGCGGAAGCCUGAUGCAGAAACGCCGCGUGGGGGAUGACGGCCUUCGGGUUGUAAACCGCUUUCGCCUGUGACGAAGCGUGAGUGGCGGUAAUGGGUAAAGAAGCACCGGCUAACUACGU
This 467-nucleotide ribosomal RNA is filed under the name uncultured bacterium. RNAcentral's name for it is "partial 16S ribosomal RNA". It matches the Rfam family "Bacterial small subunit ribosomal RNA", at positions 28 to 506 of the family's 1533-position model. The record is from RNAcentral.